GCCUGCGGGUUGCCUGGUUACGGCCACCUGCGGCUGGGGGUUCCAGUCCCGCCCGGGAAGUUAGUCUCCGUAAACGCGUAGCUCCGGGGAAGCAGUGCUCGUUUACUCCGCACAGGACCCUAGAAGGGUCCGACGCCGUCGCCGCCGCCGGCCCCUUGGCCGCAGGACCCCAGCCCCCAGGCCCCCGCCGAAGCCCCGCUGCCCGCUCAGGCUCCCGCUUCGGGGGUCGUCCAGUCGCCCGCGGCCCGCACGUGCCCCCGCCUGGCUGGGCCCUUACCUUCGGGAACGCGCGCCCUCCGGCCCUUACCUCCCCUCCAGCCCCGACACCACUCCGCGCGCUAGCCACGCAGUCUCCCACCCCGCUUUUGUCUGCCCUAAGCCCCCUCGGGGCCCCUGACUCUUGUGCCAGUGGGCAGCGGUUCCCUCUGUGCACAGAGACGCCCCGUGGACGGAAGCCAGGGACUUUAUGUGGUUUUCCCCAACCGUUGUUGAAUGGAUAUUAGUGCUGAAAACGAGGGCGAACCCCCGAGGUGCCGAGCGAUAAGCUAGGCUGCUGGGCCUCAGCCUCCUGUUUGUUCCCCGUUUCUGGCGGCCACCCAGAGGCACCAUCUGAGCGCUCCCCAAGAGGACCUUAGGGAAGGGGGGUGCUGCUUGUUUGCACCCUCAUUCUCCUAGUGGGCAAAGGUAAGUGAACCAGCCUGACCCGGCCCACUCACCUGCCACCUGCCUGGCAAGGACAAGGAAGAGCCCCGUGCCCCUGCUCCUCCUGGAGGGCAGGAAGGGGGCUCAGGGUGCCUGUCCAGUUGCUCAUGGCCCCGCCGCUGUGCUCCCAGCAGCCACUGCUGCUGGGCUUUGGCCUGGCGGAGGUGGGAGGGCACCGUGGUCACAGGUGGGACCUAGCAGCUCUGGAAGAAGGAAGCAGUGCGCUUCUGGUGUUUGUUUGCUGUGACGCUGGCAAGGGAGCAGCCACGCUGUCAGAGCCCCAGGCGGGCGGGGGGAGUCUCAGCCUAUCUGACGUGGCCACUCUAAGCUAACAUUUGCCUUGCAGAAAUCGAAUUCCCCGCCUGUUUGAACACAGUGUUCGUAAGCGCUGUAGAAUGCAGCCUGGGCCCCGCCGCCUGGGCCCCUUCUUCUUGGUGCUCCCUGUGUUUUGCAGUGACUUUGUCCCAACAGAUCGCUCUGCAGAGAGAGACACUGCAAGAGCAACCCUUAACCCUUAACCCCCCACCCGACCCACCCACCCCCACCCUCUCCACCACCAAGGCCCCCUCCCGCCAGGGGAGGGCGCUGGCGCUCCCAGGCUCAGGGCUGGCACCUCCACUUGGAGUUGAGGGCAAGAGCUCCAGCCCACUUUCCCCUCUGGUGAACCCAGAAGCCCUUUGCUCAGCCCUGGUGGGCUCUAACCUGAAGACCCCUGAAAGCAGCUUGCCCCAGGCAAGGUCGAGACCUCUGGACCCCUAGCGCGGCAUUGAAGAGGCAGCCUGGUGGCAACUCCCACGAGGGGACUCUAAGAAAAGCCGAUGGGCAAAGACCAGCAAGGGCCUUGGGGCAUCCCCGCACUCUGCUCCUGCUAAGGCUCUGCGUGGAGACCCCCCUCAGAUUCUCAGCCCUCGGUAGCCUCAUGUUCAGGACGGAUCCUGGGUCCACGGCCAAGCCGUCAAGGCCUCUGGGCCAUGGAGGCAGGGCUCUGAGUCACAGAGCGGCUGCUUUAAGACCCAGCCUGCUCCCCAGAUGCUCUCUGCCCUCUGUCACCUUCCUUGGCCUCGUCAGCUUGCUGUUUCAGCAGGCUGAGUACCUGGACAACUGGGGGCGGAGAGAGCUCGUGGGUGCUGCCUGUGCUGGGACCGUGAGGGACACGGGGACGCGGGGGCUGUGCCUCGGGGGUGCACGGCCAUGCCAGCCAUCCUCGUGCGUGCUUAGGCCCCUGCCCUUUGCCUGCCAUGUCCGCUCCUCUCUCUGCCUUCUCCCUGUCCAUCUCCUGGCUCACACUUGGAGGCUGGAUACACGUCACCACCUCCUUGCCACCCGCUAGGUGGGCUCAAAUCAGCAGCUCUUUCCCAGGGCAGAGUCGUAGUUCCUCCAGCAAAGCCGUGGUCACAUCACCUGGAGCACACAGGACACAGCUGCACACUUGCUGGGUCAGUGGGCAGAGACCGAGCUGGAGAACCUGGCUGGCCUUUCAUCAUGAUGGCCGUUGUCACCUUGUGUCCAGUGUGGUGGCAGUCAGCCUCCCUGCUGGCCAGUGCCUUCCGGGGGCGGGGGUGCUGCCACGGAGCACGUGCCAGGCAGCUGGUCCACACCGAGGGCAGAGUACUCGCCGCAGAGCCAAGGAUGGCAACUGUGCCACCGGUAGGCUGCUGUUACCUGUUGAAAUGAUGCUAUUGGGGAUAUACUGGAUUAAAUAAAUGCUUUAGUAAAGCCUCCUUCAUCUGCUUCCUUUUUAAAAUGUAGCCGCUAGGGAGUUUAAAAUUCCCUACGUGGCGGGUGUGAUGCUUCCCCUGGACAGUGCUGGACCAGACGGUGGGCGCCCUGCUGGGAGGCAGGCAGGGACCCACUCGGCGUCUCCAGCCUCCUAGAUGGUGGAGCUGGCUCUCUUCUGGUGACCGGCCAGCCAGGCAGUUCUCCAAGGAGCCCUGGGGUUGGGUAGCUAUCUCAGAGUGGGCAAAGGCCGGGUGACCUUUGGGCGUGAGCCCGCGCCCCCGGCCUCAGGCCGAAGUGUGCUUUGUGGACGUUUGUGGGGCAGGUCUGCUCCGUGCCAAGUGUCCUGCUCAGCCCCCCCACACACACCCUCAGUCCUAGGAGCUGAGGCUGGGGCCACGCGAGGGGCCUGUCCCUCUCGGCCUGUGAGACAGGGCUGGCUGAGAGUCCAGGCAAAAAGCGAGUUAGAGGCUCAUCGGGGAAGGAGCUGGCGGAGGGCUCCUGGAGGGAGCGGUGGGGCCAAAGGGGGCUGGGUGGUCGGGGAGCAAGGGCUGGGGUCCGUUCCUUGGGGAGGAAGCAGUCCCAGAGGUGCAGAGAGCUGUGUGUUAGCAUUUGUACUGUGGCACCUUGCAUCGGCCCCUGCGUCGGGGCACCUGUCCGUGGGCAUCCAGGGUGCUUGCCAGUGUGUGGCCAGGCCCGAGGGGAGGGAAGGGAGGUGCCUCCGUGAGGGUGCAGGCCAGGGGUGUAAGGCCGCCACCAUCAGAGCCAUUCCAGCCCCCUGGAGAGCCUUGCAGGAGGAAGUCCGUAUCCAGACCCAGCUCCGACCCGGACAGGCUUAAUAACUGUCACCUCCGUCAGCGUUCCUGUUCGCCUGAGCACGGCUCUGUCUCAUCUCUGGCAUCUGGAGACAUAGCUGGCAUCUAGCAGAUCUUAGAGAACUUUCUUUUUUUAAUCAUUGAACAAAGAACUAAGCAUCCAAGGUGAUAAGCAAUGGAGCUGAAGUAGGGAGCCCAGCAAGACCUGCCCUGCGACCCCGCAGCUGCCGCGGCCCUGGAGAAGCCUCGGGGCCCUCCUUCCCCAAAUUGGACAUGGACGUUUGCCGAGGAGCCCCCACUGCACACCAGGCACCAGGAGGAGCUGGGACCAUGGCCGUGGGACAGGCUCAGCUUCUGCCCCUGGGAGCAUGGACACCCCACAGCUGUGCGGGUGGGGGCACCAUAAGGGCGCCUCACCAGGCCUGGAUCCCACCUGGGAGGUCGGGGGGGAUAGAGGCAGAGAUGGAAAGGCGGAGCAUUUGCGGCUGAAGCAAAGAGGCUUCUGCAGCGGCAAAGGCCAGAACCCUCCGGAUAGUGGGCCUGCGUGGGAGCCGGUGGGCGUGUGUCACCGGGCUCCACGGGCCCCGCCAGGGGGUUUGCGCUUGACCUCGAAGAGCAAGGGACGCUUUCAGGGGCUCUUCUGCCAGGAACAACAUCACCAGUUUCACCUCCCAGAGGCUGUUGGGCAGCGGGCGAGCCAGAGCCAGGAGCCCAGGAGGUGGCCCCGGGUCCCCUGGGAGAGUGGCGAGGCUGCUGGGGCCAGACCGGUGGGGAGAGCUGAACCCAUACGACCCUGUGGGGGCAGGACCUGGCUCUCCUGCUGCCAGGGCCGUCUGCACUCCCGCACAGCACAGAUGCUCUGCUCGCCUCAGCCAUGGGGGCCAGCAGGACAGGAGGGCCCGAGUCCUAAGCAUCGGUGGUGACUUGGGUUAUGGUGUGGACGUGGAGGCCUGGCGGACCGAGGCCUGGGAUUGGGAAGGGCUGGGGUGGAGCCUGGAAGAACUCCGACACGUGCAGCUUGCCAGGUGCCAGCCUGGCUGCGUGUUGACACCUGGCAAAGUGACCUUGGCAAGUGCCUCCCUCAGCAUCGGUUCCCCCGUCUGGAAAGUGACAGGGCUGAGCACUGGAGGCCCCACAGGCCCUCCCAGGCCUCUAGGGGAGAUGGCCCCUCGAGUGGUUGUGAGAACACUGGCUGGGGAGUCACGUGGCUCUGGCUCAAGUGGGUGAACUUAAGAAGCCAUCUGCUCCUUUGCGCCUCACCUUCCUCAUCUGUGAAAUGGGAUGAUGGCCCUGCUGCAGGCUGAGCGUUAGGUGGGGUGCAGACGUGAACUGUGAACAGUGGAACCUCACCUGGCCCCACCUGGCCCGCUGCAAGUCCCAUGGGGAACACCUGUUUGCCUAAGGGGACGCUUACGGGGUGCUGCCAGCAGGGGGGAGCAGAGAGCCGCCUCCAAGCCUUGGCCCCGCAGGUGGCUCCUCCCAGGCCCGCUGGCGUCUGGAAGCGCCCAGCCUCCGUCAGAACCUGGCACCAGCACAGCCAGAGAAAAGCGUUCGGCUCCCUGCAUCCCCUGAGACUGCAGCCUGCCCACCCGAGGGUGGUGGGGUCGGUGCAACACGGCAGGUGCUCCACGAAUUCCCCCAGAGUGGCGCUUAGUGGGCAACCGUGGUUUUCAAGCUCUGUGCUCGGGGAUCUCAUGGAGGCUGGCGAGUGUGGCUGUUGAAUAAAGAGGGACUGCAUUCGGCACCAUCCUGCACCCACUGGCCACUGGCCACUGGGGAGGGCCUUCGCCCGGCGUGGCCACGGAGAACGUCGCUUCAGGGCUCACUGCACCCACAAGAUCUCAGAGGUGUGCCUGUGUAGAGAUUUGUCGUAAAUACCAUGAAUCUGUACGAAACCACAGACUCGUAGUAAGUGUAGAUAACGCAUCAUGUGCUGCGUCGUUCAGGAAUGGACCCCACGUCUAAGGUUGUGUGAAAAAGGUAAAAAAAUCCAACC
This 5229-nucleotide long non-coding RNA is filed under the name Sus scrofa (pig). Its description in RNAcentral is "lncRNA (ENSSSCG00050029656.1)". Lineage: Eukaryota; Metazoa; Chordata; Mammalia; Artiodactyla; Suidae. The record is from RNAcentral.